Molecule: long non-coding RNA, 731 nt
Organism: Carassius auratus (goldfish)
Lineage: Eukaryota; Metazoa; Chordata; Actinopteri; Cypriniformes; Cyprinidae
Exons: 4
Source: RefSeq, a predicted model, not a curated record
CUGUCACCUUUGAUUAUUUGAAUGCGUCGUUCAUGAAUAAAAGUAUUAUUUUUUGAACCUCCAUAACAGCGCGAGAAAAUGUACACAGAUUCGACGAACCCUUUAAAAAUAUACUGAUGCUCAAACAAUAUACAGACAAACAACAAAUAAAAACAAGAAACAAAAUUCAACAGAAGGAAAAUAAAAAAAUAUAUAAUAAAUGGGAAGUAUCAGCACGUUUUGAGGAUGAAAUGAUUACAAAAUGACAGAAAACAAGGCAGCGCUGAGUUUCUGCAGGACAAGUCAAAACAGUGACGAGAGCGCGCACGAUCAGCUGACGUAACAAACACAGAUCACCUGACCGCUGGAGCAGGAAGUGCUUUACACGGAAAACAACAACAACAACAUCAGGUGAUUUCUACAGUCCUCCAUCCAAACACAGCGGAUGUGAAGCAGAUGAAGAGCUGACGAUGGCGGCGGUGUGUGUUCUGCUGUGUCUCUGUCUGAUGUCUGCUGUCUGCUGUGAGCCGCUCUUACAGACUCAACCUGAGCAGGUGCACAUCUCGUAUCCAGGGGUGAAGAACUCGAUGUUGGUCACAUGGUCCACUGCUAAUAAACCGAGAGCGUAGUUGAGUACGGUCUGUGGGGCGGGAAGCUCUUCAGUCACACGGCGAAGGGAGACUCAAGCGUGUUUAUAGAUGGAGGACCGGAGAACAGGACGAUGUACGUCCACCGGGUCAUGCUGACCGAUC